RNAcentral lists this long non-coding RNA (204 nucleotides) under Hordeum vulgare. RNAcentral describes it as "long non-coding RNA (HVUL_LNC005469)". The record is from RNAcentral. Lineage: Eukaryota; Viridiplantae; Streptophyta; Magnoliopsida; Poales; Poaceae.
GAAGUGUCCUCACUCCUUAGCAGUUUGAUGCUUAUGUGAAAAUGAAAUGACAUGCCUGAGACACCUAGACUUUAUUCCGUUGAUUCACGUACCAGUAUACAUCUCUGUUGCCUUCUUGUUCACCGCUAGCUCUUUGUUGGUUUUGAUGAAACUUCUUGCUUUCUGUUCACUGGCCAAUGAUGUCCUAAAAGUAAAAUAUCUGAC